This 98-nucleotide transfer RNA is filed under the name Pseudomonas sp. RtIB026. RNAcentral's name for it is "tRNA-Trp". The record is from RNAcentral. Lineage: Bacteria; Pseudomonadati; Pseudomonadota; Gammaproteobacteria; Pseudomonadales; Pseudomonadaceae.
GCCGGGUGCGGAUAGGUGGAGAACACCGAGGCCAGCUCCAGGCUGGCCUGGCUGCCACGCACCAUGGCGUGGCUUUGUUCGAAAUCGAAGAACAGGUU